This 245-nucleotide ribosomal RNA is filed under the name uncultured Bacillus sp. Its description in RNAcentral is "partial 16S ribosomal RNA". It matches the Rfam family "Bacterial small subunit ribosomal RNA", at positions 524 to 768 of the family's 1533-position model. Lineage: Bacteria; Bacillati; Bacillota; Bacilli; Caryophanales; Bacillaceae. The record is from RNAcentral.
UACGUAGGUGGCAAGCGUUGUCCGGAAUUAUUGGGCGUAAAGCGCGCGCAGGCGGUCCUUUAAGUCUGAUGUGAAAGCCCACGGCUCAACCGUGGAGGGUCAUUGGAAACUGGGGGACUUGAGUGCAGGAGAGAAGAGUGGAAUUCCACGUGUAGCGGUGAAAUGCGUAGAGAUGUGGAGGAACACCAGUGGCGAAGGCGACUCUUUGGCCUGUAACUGACGCUGAGGCGCGAAAGCGUGGGGAG